This 253-nucleotide ribosomal RNA is filed under the name uncultured bacterium. RNAcentral's name for it is "partial 16S ribosomal RNA". It matches the Rfam family "Bacterial small subunit ribosomal RNA", at positions 524 to 776 of the family's 1533-position model. The record is from RNAcentral.
UACGGGGGGGGCAAGCGUUGUUCGGAAUCACUGGGCGUAAAGCGCACGUAGGCGGAUCUUUAAGUCGGGGGUGAAAUCCUGAGGCUCAACCUCAGAACUGCCUUCGAUACUGGCAAUCUCGAGUCCGGAAGAGGUUGGUGGAACAGCUAGUGUAGAGGUGAAAUUCGUAGAUAUUAGCUAGAACACCAGUGGCGAAGGCGGCCAACUGGUCCGGUACUGACGCUGAGGUGCGAAAGCGUGGGGAGCAAACAGG